UGCCCAGUAAUUCCUAUCCCUACCUCCACGCGGUACGGGCCGGAAACUAUGAGCAACCUUAGGGAAGA
Non-coding RNA from Aedes albopictus (Asian tiger mosquito), 68 nucleotides. The record is from Rfam. NCBI's taxonomy places the organism in Eukaryota, Metazoa, Arthropoda, Insecta, Diptera, Culicidae.